This 1665-nucleotide ribosomal RNA is filed under the name Triticum aestivum (bread wheat). RNAcentral's name for it is "partial small subunit ribosomal RNA". Lineage: Eukaryota; Viridiplantae; Streptophyta; Magnoliopsida; Poales; Poaceae. The record is from RNAcentral.
CGAUUCAAAACUCCAAGCCCCUUCUCCCCUCCCCUCCUCUCACCACCCCCCAAAACCCUACCACAUCCUCCUCCACCGACGCCAGCCAUGGCGUCGCGUCGCCCCCGUGACGGUAAGCGCCUCUCCCCACAGCCCAUCCGUAACCCUAGCCCCAACCCCAGCCCGAACCCUAACCCCGCCCCCUCCCGCCCCAGUCCGCGACCCGGUGCUGGACAUGGUUUUCCAGGCGGCCUCCGACGACAACCUCCCCCUCUUCAAGGCGCUGGUCAUGGUGCUGGACAUGGGCAGGGGCUGCCCCAAGGAGGCGAUUGAGGGGUUGAGGGUGGAGGAGGCUGGGAAGCUCCAAGGUUUCAGCGCGCUGCACAUCGCCGCCACUAGAGGGAGCCUGCGGGUGUGCAGGUACCUCGUCGAGGAGCUGCUGAUAGAUGUGGAUCUGGUCGACAAGGAAGGUAGAACACCUCUGUUGUUUGCAACAUACCACAAUGGGGGUACUGCCGAGUAUCUUCUCGAUCAUGGUGCUGAUCAAGACAAAGCCAAUAAUGAUGGGAUUUCCCUGUUACAUUAUGCCGCUGAAUCAGGCAAUUGUGAAAUGCUAGAGCUUUUCCUUGCAAAAGGAGCUUAUGUUGACCCGGUAGCUGCUCAUGGAACACCACUUCAUGGUGCUGCUGGUGAAGGGCAAUAUGGUGCUGUGAAGAUUUUAUUGGACCACAAUGCAGAUUACAACAAGAUGGUAAAUGGUGUGACACCUCUUAUGGCUGCUAGAGAUGCCAACUCAACGGAAUGUAUCAAGCUCCUAGUUAAGGUUCAGGAGGAGCCCAUGCUUAAACGGGAAAUCGUGGCAUCAGAGCUUAUAUCACUAGGGAGUAUCUCUUUAAAGAAAAAAGAUUAUGCUGUCGCAGCAAAAUUGUACAGUCGGGCAAUGCAGCUUGAUCCUGAUGAUGCAGUCUUGUUCUCAGACAGGAGCCUUUGUUGGCUUCACAUGGGCGAUGGAAGAAAGGCUUUGCUAGAUGCUAAUAAAUGCAGAAAAAUGCGGCCUCACUGGCCAAAAGCUUGUCGCCGGCAGGGUGAAGCUCUGAUGCUACUGAAGGACUAUGAGGGCGCAAGUGAACGGUUCUUGGAUGGUCUCAAAUUGGACCCAGUGGACACUGACAUCGAGGAUGCAUUACGGGAAGCUAUGAAGUCCUUGAAGACGUCUAGGAGCACGAAAGCCAGGUGACUAUUUGGGUGUUGCAGGGGAAUCAGUUGAAGACUUGAAACGGCUCAGGAGUUUCUUCAUUUGUGCAAAAACUGGUUAUUAGAAAGUAAAGCGAAGUGUCUGAUGGGAGUAUUACCGUUGCAAGUUUGUAUGAGCAUGGCUGUUGAUCAAUGCAGUAAUGUUGGUGGAAGCUCUUCAGUUGACAUCUAUCUAUCCUAUGUCAGGUUUGCAGGUCUUGUUUGAAGCUCACUCGCCCGCCGCGCCGUGUGCCGCGUCCACCAAUAGAUCGCAGCCUUCGCAUUUGUCUUGUUACGGUUUUGCUGAAUCACCCCCCACCCAGGGCUCUGCUUAGUGUUUUUACUACUCACGUUGGUACAGUGUACUGUAGAGACGACGGAGGAGAGGGAUAUGUUUUGUUGGUUUUCUUCGUCCUGUGGCUGCACAAGAAGAGGGGAGCUAGUAUAUACAGU